This 220-nucleotide unclassified non-coding RNA is filed under the name Hevea brasiliensis (rubber tree). Lineage: Eukaryota; Viridiplantae; Streptophyta; Magnoliopsida; Malpighiales; Euphorbiaceae. The record is from RNAcentral.
GAAAACCUAGUUGCAGCUUCUCUAGUUCUCUGCAUCUUCCAAAGAGAGCCGAUCCAAAUCUCAAAAAAUGAAGUUUGUUGCUGCAUAUUUGCUCGCCGUCUUGGGAGGCAACACCAGCCCCUCAGCCGGGGACUUGAAGGAAAUCCUCGCAUCCAUUGGAGCUGAUGCUGAUGAUGAUAAGAUUGAGCUGUUGCUGUCUCAAGUUAAAGGAAAGGACCCU